RNAcentral lists this signal recognition particle RNA (229 nucleotides) under bovine gut metagenome. RNAcentral's name for it is "Bacterial large signal recognition particle RNA". It matches the Rfam family "Bacterial large signal recognition particle RNA", at positions 2 to 227 of the family's 256-position model. Rfam says of the family: The signal recognition particle (SRP) is a universally conserved ribonucleoprotein involved in the co-translational targeting of proteins to membranes. The record is from RNAcentral.
CGCACUAGUCGGGGAGAUAGCGGUGCCCUGUCGCCCGCAAUCCGCUACAGCGGGGAUGAAUCCCUGCACCAGGGUUUACGUUGUGUUGUCUGUCCGGAUAAGCGGUGUUGAGGAAUCGGUCUCGCGCAACGGAGCCCCGUGAACCAUGUCAGGCGGGGAACCGAGCAGCAUUAAGCGGUCAGCUUCGUGUGCCGCGAGUCAGCCGUUUCUGAGCUGGCUGUUCGGGAAA